This 778-nucleotide ribosomal RNA is filed under the name uncultured Neocallimastigales. RNAcentral's name for it is "partial large subunit ribosomal RNA". It matches the Rfam family "Eukaryotic large subunit ribosomal RNA", at positions 22 to 640 of the family's 3401-position model. The record is from RNAcentral. Lineage: Eukaryota; Fungi; Neocallimastigomycota; Neocallimastigomycetes; Neocallimastigales.
GUACACGCUGUGACUAGCAUAUCAAUAAGCGGAGGAAAAGAAACUAACAAGGAUUCCCCUAGUAACGGCGAGUGAAGCGGGAAGAGCCCAAAUUUGAAAUCUUAAAGGGUUUCCCUUUACGAAUUGUAGUUUAAAGAAGUGUUUUCUGUUGAGGUUUUGGUAAAAGUUCUUUGGAAUAGGACAUCAUAGAGGGUGGGAAUCCCGUAUUUGACCUUUACUUUCAACUUUGUGAUACACUUUCAAAGAGUCGGAUUGUUUGGGAAUGCAGUCCAAAAUGGGUGGUAAAUUUCAUCUAAAGCUAAAUAUUGGCGAGAGACCGAUAGCGAACAAGUACCGUGAGGGAAAGGAUGAAAAGAACUUUGGAAAAGAGAGUUAAACAGUACGUGGAAAUUGUCAAAAGGGAAGCGUUUGACACCAGUGUUGUUUUUCUGAAAAUCAAUUAAAGAACUGUUUAUGCUAAGUUGUUUAGACUUUAUCAGCUAUCUGCUUUAGUUUUGAGCUUUUCUUUAAUGCACUUUUCAGUUAACAAGUCAACAUCAAUUUCUUUUGCUGUAAAAAAGCUUGAGGAAGGUGGCUUGAGAUUCGUCUUAAGUGUUUAUAGCCUCUUGCCUAUGCAGUCGGAGAGAUUGAGGUCUGCAGCGUAGAUCCUUCGGGGCUAAAUGCAUUUGUGCUAAGUUAUAGCAUUUUAUAGACAACUUGUUGACUAUGAUUUGUCUUGUAGCUUACUCGCUUAUGUUAUUUUACCUACGCUUAGGAUGUUGAUAUGCAUGACUGAUAU